This 974-nucleotide long non-coding RNA is filed under the name Brassica napus (rape). Its description in RNAcentral is "long non-coding RNA (BNAP_LNC020447)". Lineage: Eukaryota; Viridiplantae; Streptophyta; Magnoliopsida; Brassicales; Brassicaceae. The record is from RNAcentral.
AUUUAAGUGGGUUAGUAGAGUUUAGUGUUUACGGUUUAUAUCUGUGUUUAGGGUUUAGGGUUUAUAUUUGGGUUUAGAGUUUAGUGAUUAGGGUUUAGGGUUUAUAUUUGGGUUUAGGGUUUAGUGAUUAGUGUUUAGGAUUUAUAUCUGGGUUUAGGGUUUAGUGAUUAUGGUUUAGGGUUAGGGUUUAGGGUUUAUAUUUGGGUUUAAGGUUUAGUGACUAGGGUUUAGGGUUUAGUGAUUUGUGUUUAGGGUUUAUAUAUGGUUUUAGGGUUUAGUGAUUAGGGUUUAGGGUUUAUAUUUGGGUUUAUGGUUUAGUGAUUAGGGUUUAGGGUUUAGUAAUUUUCAAGCUAGAGUUUAGGGUUUAGGGUUUAUAUGUCAUGUCUUCCAAUUUGAUAUUUCUCUUCUAUGCCCUUUUGUAUGAUUGCUCGUAAUAUAAAAUUAGUUUCAUUCAAAUGUUUGGCAAGGUUAGGGUCAUGUCUAGUUCAAGAACGUCUUUUUCAACAAUAAGUAUUUUUAUUUCUUUUCGUACUAUUUUACAUAUAAUGCUCAACUAAUAUAAAUAGAACAAACAUUUGUAAACUAUUUUAUACAAUGUUCCAUAUUAUAUUUGAGUUUGGGUUUAGUGAUUCAUUUAGGGUUUAGUAUUUAAAAGUUGGAGUUAGAUUUAAGUUUAUAUUUGAGUUUAUGGUUUAUAUUUGGAUUUAGGGUUUAGUGAUUAUGAUUUAAGGUUUAGUAUUUAGAGAUUAGUUUCAGAUUAAGAUAAGUUUUAGUAUUUAGAUUUAAGGGUUGAUGUAUAAUUAAUAUUCUAUAUUAUUUUGGUGAUAUGAAGUAGAAUUAAUUAAAUGUUUGUGGUUAUAUGUAUGUGAUGUGGCUGUGUUAUCUUCAUUUUAUUAGUGACAGUUUGCAUUAAUUGUUGGUCACACUUGGAUUUUGUCAAUGAUCAUCUCCACAUCUUUAAGCCACCGACAAUU